Molecule: ribosomal RNA, 249 nt
Filed under: uncultured bacterium
Lineage: Bacteria
Description: partial 16S ribosomal RNA
Rfam family: Bacterial small subunit ribosomal RNA
Source: RNAcentral
GAUCCUGGCUCAGGACGAACGCUGGCGGCGUGCCUAAUACAUGCAAGUCGAACGGAAGCAAAGAUUUCGGUUUUUGCUUUAGUGGCGAACGGGUGAGUAACGCGUGAGGAACCUGCCUUUCAGUGGGGGACAACAGUUGGAAACGACUGCUAAUACCGCAUAAUGCUUUUGAGUGGCAUCACUUAAAAGCCAAAGAUUUAUUGCUGAAAGAUGGCCUCGCGUCUGAUUAGCUGGUUGGCGGGGUAACGG